CCAAUAGCGUAUAUUAAAGUUGUUGCAGUUAAAAAGCUCGUAGUUGAAUUUCGGGAUCAAUAUGUUGGUCGUGCCUCGGUACGUACUAGCUUAUUGGUUUCUCCUUUCUGAAGAACCAUGAUGUCAUUUAUUUGGUGUCGUGGGGAAUCAGGACUGUUACUUUGAAAAAAUUAGAGUGUUUAAAGCAGGCUCACGCUUGAAUACAUUAGCAUGGAAUAAUGAAAUAGGACGUUUGAUUCUAUUUUGUUGGUUUCUAGGAUCGACGUAAUGAUUAAUAGGGAUAGUUGGGGGCAUUAGUAUUCAAUUGUCAGAGGUGAAAUUCUUGGAUUUAUUGAAGACUAACUACUGCGAAAGCAUUUGCCAAGGAUGUUUUCAUUAAUUAAGAACGAAAGUUAGGGGAUCGAAGACGAUCAGAUACCGUCGUAGUCUUAACCAUAAACUAUGCCGACUAGGGAUCGGAUGAUGUUAAUUUUUUAAUGACUCAUUCGGCGCCUUAC
Molecule: ribosomal RNA, 497 nt
Filed under: uncultured Glomeromycotina
Lineage: Eukaryota; Fungi; Glomeromycota
Description: partial small subunit ribosomal RNA
Rfam family: Eukaryotic small subunit ribosomal RNA
Source: RNAcentral